Cryptomeria japonica (Japanese cedar) is the source of this 1436-nucleotide RNA transcript. RefSeq lists it as uncharacterized. The transcript has 8 exons. The record is from RefSeq and is a predicted model, not a curated record. NCBI's taxonomy places the organism in Eukaryota, Viridiplantae, Streptophyta, Pinopsida, Cupressales, Cupressaceae.
CCGUUAGAGAUAUCAUCUCUAUUCCAUGCCUGAUGUGUAGAGUUUUGUCCUCUCUUUUUUGUGAUUGUCAAAUGUUUUGUUCUUUUUCUCUGUUCAUUUUUUUUUCAGGUGUUUGUUUUGUUUGGUGGUGUACAGCGUGCACGCUGGUUUUUCUGUUCAUCUUAUUCCUAGGUGUUUGUUUUGUUUGGUGGUGUUCAGUGUUUUUUCAAAUUUUUUGUUUGUUUUAGUGUUACAUUUUUGUGGCACAACAGAGGAAGAGACAGAACAGAGAAAGAGGCAGAGGCAGAGCAACCAAGGGCAAUUUCUUCUUCUUUCAGGGUAAAAUUGAGGAUACUGAUGGUGACGGUGCCAAUGGGGGCAAGCUUCCUGAAAAUGGUGAAGAGAAAAAGCCUAAAUAGAAGAAGUCUAAGUAGCCAAAGGUCCCUGUCUGAAGCAGCAACGAAAAUUGAUCAUGGAAAUCUUGUUGAUUUUCUUACAAAAGUCAGGGGAUCUUUGUCCAGGCAAUUAAAGGGAUUUGCGGAUUAUUUUGCAAGUGCAUUUGUUGCUGGUAACCCUACGCAGUUUCCUAUCAAUAAAAUACUAGUUGAUUUGAUUUGUUCUGGAAUAUGAAUUAUUCUACCGUGGCCAAGCUUGCAGAAACACCUCUUUGUCACAUUUCUGAAGCUGUUUAUAAGACUAGAUGAAUCGACAACCAUCAGAGGCUCUGAAGGAAUUCAUGUUGUGGGCUCUAGGUAGUGUCUUGCAAGAUGUAGCCACUCAACAGGCAGGCCACAAAGGAUCAAGAAAACACAACCAGUUGUAGUUAAAGGAGCGAUAGCGAUAUUUGUGGUCUUAGCAAUGCUAUUGAGGAAGAGGCUUGACCUCUUGUUGCAACUCUCAUCAACAAUAAAGACUGAACCACAGUUUCAGGACCAGGACAAAGUGUACACGAUUGAUUGUUUGGGCCAUCAAACAGGUAAAAAAUGGAAGCUUGUGAAGCAAGUGGUGAAGGACGUUUUCCAGACAUUAGAUGUUGGAUGUGGCCAAAUCAAGGCGCACAGAGAGUUCAGAAAUUUAAGCAACAUUCCGUGCCUUCUGUCAAGAGAAAAAGAAUGGAUAGAUUACAAGUUCACAGCAUGUUGCAAGCAAAAACAUUACAGGUUGCUAUUGGAAGAGGUGGGUUGAAGGACAUUCUCCCAACAAUGGGUGUCAGUUUGAUGAUGACAAGAAGAGUAGCAAGGGAUGUGAUUAGAUCAUUUCUUUAGUAACAUUUUGGUCAAGGGUAUUGACCUCGUAGCAGUGUAACAUGGUCAAUGGUAUUGACCUAAUAGCAUUGUAACAUGUACUAAAAUAAUGAUUAAUAAAAAAAAUUAUUGGAAGGGGAUAAAAAUCCCUUCCAAAGACCAAAGGGAAUAACCAAUGGCCAUGGUUAUUCCUUAAGGUCGAGUGUUUGUCUC